RNAcentral lists this ribosomal RNA (465 nucleotides) under uncultured bacterium. Its description in RNAcentral is "partial 16S ribosomal RNA". It matches the Rfam family "Bacterial small subunit ribosomal RNA", at positions 28 to 507 of the family's 1533-position model. The record is from RNAcentral.
GACGAACGCUGGCGGCGUGCUUAACACAUGCAAGUCGAACGGAAAGGCCCCUUUGGGGGUACUCGAGCGGCGAACGGGUGAGUAACACGUGAGUAACCUGCCCUUGCCUUCGGGAUAACUUCAGGAAACUGGGGCUAAUACCGGACAGGAAUCCUUUCUUCAUGGUGGGGGUUGGAAAGCUUCGGCGGGUUUGGGUGGACUCGCUGCCUGUCAGCUUGCUGGUGGGGUAGUGGGUUACCAAGGCUUUGGCGGGUAGGCAGCCUGGGGGGGCGACCGGCCACAAUGGGGACGAGGUACGGCCCAGACUCCUACGGGAGGGAGCAGGGGGGAAUAUUGCACAAUGGGCGGAAGGCUGAUGCAGCAACGCCGCGUGCGGGAUGACGGGCUUCGGGUUGUAAACCGCUUUCAGCAGGGGCGAAGCUUGUGGUGACGGUACCUGCAGAAGAAGCACCGGCUAACUACGUG